RNAcentral lists this ribosomal RNA (433 nucleotides) under uncultured bacterium. RNAcentral describes it as "partial 16S ribosomal RNA". It matches the Rfam family "Bacterial small subunit ribosomal RNA", at positions 29 to 507 of the family's 1533-position model. The record is from RNAcentral.
AACGAACGCUGGCGGCAUGCCUAACACAUGCAAGUCGAACGAGACCUUCGGGUCUAGUGGCGCACGGGUGCGUAACGCGUGGGAACCUGCCCUUAGGUUCGGAAUAACUCCCCGAAAGGGGUGCUAAUACCGGAUAAUGUCUUCGGACCAAAGAUUUAUCGCCUUUGGAUGGGCCCGCGUUGGAUUAGCUAGUUGGUAGGGUAAAAGCCUACCAAGGCGACGAUCCAUAGCUGGUUUGAGAGGAUGAUCAGCCACACUGGGACUGAGACACGGCCCAGACUCCUACGGGAGGCAGCAGUAGGGAAUAUUGGACAAUGGGCGAAAGCCUGAUCCAGCAAUGCCGCGUGAGUGAUGAAGGCCUUAGGGUUGUAAAGCUCUUUUACCCGAGAUGAUAAUGACAGUACCGGGAGAAUAAGCUCCGGCUAACUCCGUG